Molecule: long non-coding RNA, 1291 nt
Filed under: Monodelphis domestica (gray short-tailed opossum)
Lineage: Eukaryota; Metazoa; Chordata; Mammalia; Didelphimorphia; Didelphidae
Description: lncRNA (ENSMODG00000035144.2)
Source: RNAcentral
GUCCCACUGAGAUCCGAAGUCCCAGCUGCCUGAGCCCUCCUGCUAACGAGGACCCUGAGACUUGAGGUGUUAAGGUCCAGUUCCUCACCCAUCACCAUGGAAGACCCACAGACAAUGCAAUCAAGCAGGAGGGUCCUUUAUUCUGGUAUACACCAGGGGAAGCUCAGCACAAGAGUUCCGCCUGCAGUUCAGCAACAAAGCUGUCUGAUACAAAAGGAGGAAUGUGCAGGAGGACAGAAGUCUGCAAGAGAGGAGGCUGAAGGUAUCAUAUCAGGACCUACCAGAUUGGAGAAAUUUAAGACUUUGGGGACAUGGGGUAGUGUUUUGAUUGUUAGAUUUUGCCAAAGGCAGACUUCCUGUCUUUCUGGAUCAAUUGUCAAUGCGCCGGUGGCAUUGGGGAACGCCCCCAAAUGCCAAUCACCAGUACCUGUAUCCUUAGGCUUUCCCACCAUUAAGGGAUGGAGUCCAAUCCCAUAUAGCAUUACUCAUUUGUCCAUAUGUUUGGUCAGUGACGCUGGGUCUUGACCAAAAGGGGUGUGUGUCAAUCAACUAUCCCUCUCUCACUCUAAGCCCCCAGGUCAUCUAGAGUGAUAUAUAGGUUCCCCAAGUUCUUUUGUUCCUCUCAGUCCAUCCUGAGUCGGUGGCACUCCCAGGGGUCAGUGACCAGAGCAGCCAGAGUUCAAUCUGGACUCUGUGCAGUGGUGGGGAGCGAGCAGCUGUGUUGUCGUGGCCUAUUAGCGCUGAGGUCUUUUAGUGCUGAACCCCUUUAGCCCUUGAUUAAAGAGUGGUUUUGACUAUUUAAUAGUUCUGUGUUUUUUCUAGUUGACAAUUGUUAAUCUGAGACUUGUGAAGUUGGACUUUUCCCUCGGGAAGAAACUCAUGUGACAAGGUCAAAUUUGAGGCUUUCAUCUUUAAGCUAACUAAACUAGGGUGUCUUCGAAUCUUACUAGGCUACAAGUUUGGGGGUUUCUAGAUUCCACAUUGAGGGUGGCAAUACAUUGAGGCUUUAAAAUUGUGGCUCCUUUUGAAUCCUUUUGGAUUCCCCAAAGAGUAUUUGUACUCUUCCUUAAACAUUAAAUCAGUUUACCACAGUUAUCACUAAAGUUUGUAAAAUUAGCAAAACAAAAGGACAAGAGUUUGAAUUAAUAACAAUAUCCUGCAUUUACACACACUUUAAGCUUUGCAAACCACUUUGCAAGAAGUGCUUUAAUUUUUUUCCCCUUUUUGUUUUAUCUUUAUGACUGAAAGUUAGGUGAUAUUCUAUUAAUUUUAUAGAUGGUGAAACUGAGAC